GAAAUGACUGAAUACAUCUUGUAACUUGUAGCAAGAGCAAAUACCGUGAGCCUCAGGUGUAUAUCAUUGCAAUCACAGUAUGCUUGACAAAUCUGUGAAAUUUACACCUUUGAUUGCUGUCCAGAUGGGUGGUCUUGCCAGAAAUAAAUUUUGGCUUGUGACAACACAAAAAAAAGAAUGGGAGAACGACCAAACUAUUUCUGAAAUUGGACGGGAAGUUUAUUUUUAGUUUACUAUUGUCUGCUACAGGUUUUGUUUUAUUGUUUACCUACUGAGCUAGCAGGUACCUUAUAAUAAGCAAAUCACAGUAGUGACAGCAACAAGGAGGUGGCAAAACAAAAGGUCUAAUGAGCAGAAAAAAAGCUCAGCACGUGCAUUUUAAAACUUUGUACACUUCUUGGCUGUCUUCUGCAAAACAGCAAUGCAUAUCACCAAAAUUUGCCUGUUCUAAAAUGGAAACUCAGACAGUGAAUUAUUUAAUUUUCCAUUUGGAACUCAAUGCAGCUCACACAGAUUAUGUUGAAGUUGAGAUGUAGUGCCCUGGGAGACAGUAAAUACCUCCAGACAUUUGCAAAAUUCUAACAAAAAACUUAAAUUCAUUUUUUGAUGAAUGUCUUCCUUAGUGUUGCCAUCCUGGCUGCUUUAAGUCUUAAUGAUCAUGUAGUCUCCUUCAAGUUAAAGUUAGUUUUGCACUGCACAAAAAUUGACUUUAAGAGUUGUCACGUAACUUCUUUAUCAUCUCUUUCUUCAAUCAGAAAUUCCUGCAGCUCACUGGGUGGUUCAACUAGACUGUCCAGAGGAUGCAAACACAUGCAUUCAUUGAGCUGGAAGAACAGCUAGAGUAAACCCACAGAAGCUUGGUCAAUUUAAAAGAAACUUGAAGCUCUAUGUGUACAAGACUUAGAAAUAAAGCAGUGGGCACAAAAGUCCAGGUGGAGAGAUUCACUUUCAAGCCACCAGGCUGGGUCAUGGCACUGUGUCCUUGAGUGAGAUACUUGACGCUCACAGUGCUUCUUUCCAGUCAGGAGUAUACAGAAGGAUAAUCAACAACUGUUAGGGAAACCUGUGAUGUACUAGUAUCCCAUUCAGUUACAUGCUGCAGAAACCAAGACUGGCUCCAGCAGAGUCGGCCACCGCUAUGCUUCAGAGUAGACUUUACCAUUUUUUAUCAAUCCCAAUAUAUUUUUACCAAAACACAUAAGUGUCCUUCUCAUUUGGAUAAUUUUAUUGGAUAACUUAAGGAAGAGAGUUAAUGUAGUCCUUUAUUUGUAAAUGUUUGUGGUAUUCCAUCUUCAUUAAGAAGUAAAAGUAUGUCAAAUUUAUUUUAUGAGGUCCUGUGACCUGUUAAGCAUACAGUGCAAUCAACUAUAAAAAGGUACAUCAAAUUAAGAAAAAAUUAUAAUUAUACUCUGACAUGCUUUGGUGCCUAGCUAAAUUACUGUUACUUUAAUUGGUCAAUAAAGCUACAUUGUGAAGUAAA
Stylophora pistillata is the source of this 1480-nucleotide long non-coding RNA. The record is from RefSeq and is a predicted model, not a curated record. Lineage: Eukaryota; Metazoa; Cnidaria; Anthozoa; Scleractinia; Pocilloporidae.